AGAGUUUGAUCCUGGCUCAGAUCAACGCUGGCGGCGCGCUUAACACAUGCAAGUCGCACGAGAAAAGGGGGCAACCCCUGAGUACAGUGGCGUACGGGUGAGUAACACGUGGGUCAUCCACCGUUUUGUGGGGAAUAACCCUGGGAAACCGGGGCUAAUACCGCAUAUGCCUGGGAAGGUAAAGCUCUGCAAGGAGCGCAAAACGAGGAGCCCGCGGCCGAUUACGCUGGUUGGUGAGGGUAACGGCCCACCAAGGCUCUGAUCGGUAGCCGGCCUGAGAGGGCACACGGCCACACUGGCACUGCAACACGGGCCAGACUCCUACGGGAGGCAGCAGUGGGGAAUCUUGCACAAUGGGCGAAAGCCUGAUGCAGCGACGCCGCGUGCGCGACGACGCCUUUCGGGGUGUAAAGCGCUUUCGGCUGGAACGAUCAUGACGGUACCAGCAGAAGAAGCUGCGGCUAACUACGUGCCAGCAGCCGCGGUAAUACGUAGGCAGCAAGCGUUGUUCGGAGUUACUGGGCGUAAAGAGUCUGUAGCGGCCCGGCCAGUCCGUUUGUCCAAUCUCCCGGCUUAACCGGGAGAAGCGGCGGAAACUGCCGGUGCUGGAGCGCGGGAGAGGAAAGCGGAAUUCCGGGUGUAGCGGUGAAAUGCGUAGAGAUCCGGAGGAACACCAGUGGUGAAGACGGCUUUCUGGACGUGGCUGACGCUGAGAGACGAAAGCGUGGGGAGCAAACAGGAUUAGAUACCCUAGUAGUCC
Molecule: ribosomal RNA, 760 nt
Filed under: uncultured bacterium
Lineage: Bacteria
Description: bacterial SSU rRNA
Rfam family: Bacterial small subunit ribosomal RNA
Source: RNAcentral